This 1009-nucleotide long non-coding RNA is filed under the name Mustela putorius furo (domestic ferret). Its description in RNAcentral is "lncRNA (ENSMPUG00000028477.1)". Lineage: Eukaryota; Metazoa; Chordata; Mammalia; Carnivora; Mustelidae. The record is from RNAcentral.
GUUUAUUAAAAACUCCCAAGAGGGUAUUGAUCAUUUACCAGCUGACAGGAUCAGUGCAGCAUUAUUUCUAUCCUGCGAUUACCUCUAAGUGACGCGUGCCAACUUCGAUGGGUUCCGAGCCUCUGAGUCGAGCGCGUCCUGAAAUUAACUUGAAUAACCUAAUUUCUACCUUCCGUAGAUCUGUUCUCCCACACUGUGCAAAGGGCAAAACAGAAGUGGAACAAGAAAGAUUAACAAGGUCUGUGCCAGCUGUUAGAGGAGAAGUCAUUGUUUGUCUGCAUUUAAGGAGAAAAGGACACUAUUUGGCAGCGUGGGGUGCCCUGGAGUCGCUGGAGCUAAUGAUCAUCCUGAGAAUUGAGCUGGGAGAAGCAGAAACCCUUGCUCUCUCUGGAAUGCCGUCUAACGUGGCCCUCAGGACGGAGGAGACACUUCUGUGCCCGUGUUGGAAGAAGCUGUGUUCGUCGAGUGAGACUAAGUUCCUGCUCACAUGUGAGAAUAUCCUCGUAAUUAUGAAAUGCCGUGGUUGAAUUCUGGUCUGGAGGAACUGAAGGCCGCUUGUCACCUGCUCAUUCCCUUCGCUCCUCUCUUCUGGCACACGGGGUCAGCAUCAGGGCCCUCUCCGGAGCACCGCGCCGCUGUGCGAGGAAGUUCACAAGGAGAAGAAGGGGAAGUGUGGCUACUGAAAAAGAUGAUUCAUGGGGCACACGGGUGGGUCAGCGCGUUAAGUGUCCGACUCUUAAUUCCGGCUCAGGUCAUGAUCUCAUGGUCCGGAGAUCAAGCUCUGCUUGUGUGCUCUCUCUCUCUCUCUUUCUUUCUCUCAAAAAAUAAAAAUUAAAGUUAUUCGUGAGCUUAAUACUGUGUGAGUGUGUGUUAUAUGGGUACAUACGUAUAUGUAUGUGUUUUCUCUCUCUUACGACUGGCUGCAGACAAUUAACAGUCUUUAGUCUCCGCUGCUUUCAGAACUGAAACUAAGGCUUUGUUGCAGAUUUGAAAGGUUGUACAAUAUUCG